Cynoglossus semilaevis (tongue sole) is the source of this 511-nucleotide long non-coding RNA. RefSeq lists it as uncharacterized. NCBI's taxonomy places the organism in Eukaryota, Metazoa, Chordata, Actinopteri, Pleuronectiformes, Cynoglossidae. The transcript has 2 exons. The record is from RefSeq and is a predicted model, not a curated record.
AUCUGUGUGAUGUCCUGUGGUGGAUGUGUGGUGGCAAAUACCUAACAGUGUCUUUAAAGAGACUGGUGGCCUCUGCAUCUCGUCCAAGUCCUUACAACCAGACGUAGAGAUUGUCCCAGGACUGACCAUGUGACCUUUUUAGGAAUAAAGCCAGUGCUCAUGGACAGUGAGGUACAGAUCUCAACACUGUGUGUUUUAGGAUUGGGAAAGAAAACUUGGAAUAAGGCUAAGGUUAAGGUUUGUGAUAUGGGUGGAUUAGUUGGGAUUAUGGUUAGGAAUAAACCAGUUGGUAUGAUUAAAACUAAUGAAUUCCUAAAAAAAUCUUAGCAAAAUAAAACUCUAUUUUUAUAAAAUACUUAAAUUUUCAUUAAAAUGCCAAGUUAUUUCCUUUUCUAUGGUUAAAUUUCAGAUCAUAUAUACUUUCUUGGGAUACUAACUGUUGAUUAAAAUUAAAUACUAUACUAAUAAGAUCCUGAGAAGGUCUUCAAAAAUAAAAGAUUCUCAAAAAUGA